GGUGAGAGUCAUGUGAUCAGCUCCUGUUGAACCUCCCCAGGGUCGAAAGGCAGCAAGGAUAAAACGGUUGAGCGAUGCAUAUGGUUUCUCACCAUU
This 96-nucleotide signal recognition particle RNA is filed under the name Saprospiraceae bacterium. RNAcentral describes it as "signal recognition particle sRNA small type". It matches the Rfam family "Bacterial small signal recognition particle RNA". From Rfam's summary of the family: The signal recognition particle (SRP) is a universally conserved ribonucleoprotein involved in the co-translational targeting of proteins to membranes. The record is from RNAcentral. Lineage: Bacteria; Pseudomonadati; Bacteroidota; Saprospiria; Saprospirales; Saprospiraceae.